Non-coding RNA from Aedes albopictus (Asian tiger mosquito), 45 nucleotides. NCBI's taxonomy places the organism in Eukaryota, Metazoa, Arthropoda, Insecta, Diptera, Culicidae. The record is from Rfam.
CCAACGGCCUUUUCAGGGCCACAAAAAAAUCCACUCAAGAGUUAU